Molecule: ribosomal RNA, 502 nt
Filed under: uncultured bacterium
Lineage: Bacteria
Description: partial 16S ribosomal RNA
Rfam family: Bacterial small subunit ribosomal RNA
Source: RNAcentral
GACGAACGCUGGCGGCGUGCCUAAUACAUGCGAGUCGAACGAACCGCGACUGAGUGCUUGCACUUGGUCAAGGUGAGUGGCGAACGGGUGAGUAACACGUGGGUAACCUACCUCAUAGUGGGGGAUAACAGUCGGAAACGACUGCUAAUACCGCAUAGGACAUGGAAUCACAUGAUUCUGUGAGGAAAGGUGGCGCAAGCUAUCGCUAAGAGAUGGACCCGCGGUGCAUUAGCUAGUUGGUAGGGUAAGGGCCUACCAAGGCGAUGAUGCAUAGCCGACCUGAGAGGGUGAUCGGCCACAUUGGGACUGAGACACGGCCCAAACUCCUACGGGAGGCAGCAGUAGGGAAUCUUCCGCAAUGGACGCAAGUCUGACGGAGCAACGCCGCGUGAGUGAAGAAGGUCUUCGGAUCGUAAAGCUCUGUUGUUAGAGAAGAACAGCGCAUAGAGUAACUGUUAUGCGUGUGACGGUAUCUAACCAGAAAGCCACGGCUAACUACGUG